This is a long non-coding RNA of Gallus gallus (chicken), 707 nucleotides long. The record is from Ensembl. Lineage: Eukaryota; Metazoa; Chordata; Aves; Galliformes; Phasianidae.
UUGUAGUCUUCAGAGACUUUUUGAUUGCUCUUUGUCCUUGUAUGAGAAGACGAAAAAGGAAAAUGGAAACUCUCACUAACCACUUCAAAAGUGGCCUGUGAAAAACAGCUCAUCUCCAUCACAAAAGGCCACUUUAAUUGCCAGUGCUGACUGUGGCCAAGGAAGGAAUGGAGAUUCCAUGAGAGAAGGGUUUUCCCUACGGUAAAUACUGUCCCCUUGCUAGGUAGCUGAUUAAAAUAGGAGAAUAAGCCAGAAACCCCGCAGUCUGCUGUGUAUCAUCAGAGGAAAAGGCAAGAACAUGGCAGACGGCUGCAAAAGUGUUUUCUCCCUGGAAAACAGUCACUGCUUCUCCUGCAGUAUGCUUAGCCAGCAGCGGCCAAGAGCCAGAGCUGCCUGCUGCCCAUUCCUUCCCCUGAGCAACCUUUUUGGCUCUCAGAAAUGAAAAAAGCAAAGUAAAACCAACUGAACCCCUUGGCUGUCUUGGAAAUUGAAAUGAUGAGUUCCUCUCUGUGACAUGCUUGUUCCAAGCUGCAGAUUGUGCACGUGUGAUUGGUGGUAUCAUCAUUCUCAGCUUAAAGACUGCACACAUUUUACAGCAGGUGAGCAUCUGUGUCUCUUACAGCCCAUGUUAAAUAUGUAGAUACACUGCUAAAUACCUCCAGUAUGCCGAAAUACGUACAGUGCUCUGCCCAGAAAACUUUCCCUCA